UUUAGAGUUUGAUUUCCCUGGCUCAGAACGAACGCUGGCGGCAUGCCUAACNCAUGCAAGUCGAACGCCUGUAGCAAUACAGGAGUGGCAGACGGGUGCAAAACGCGUGGAAACCUAUCCUUGGGUUCGGAAUAACCGCGGGAAACUGCGGCUAAUACCGGAUACGUCCUUCGGGAGAAAGAUUUAUCGCCCAUUGAGGGGUCCGCGUCUGAUUAGCUAGUUGGUGAGGUAAUGGCUCACCAAGGCGACGAUCAGUAGCUGGUCUGAGAGGAUGAUCAGCCACACUGGAACUGAGACACGGUCCAGACUCCUACGGGAGGCAGCAGUGGGGAAUAUUGGACAAUGGGCGCAAGCCUGAUCCAGCAAUGCCGCGUGGGUGAUGAAGGCCUUCGGGUUGUAAAGCCCUUUUGGCGGGGACGAUGAUGACGUACCCGCCGANUAAGNUCCGC
RNAcentral lists this ribosomal RNA (449 nucleotides) under Alphaproteobacteria bacterium. RNAcentral's name for it is "bacterial SSU rRNA". It matches the Rfam family "Bacterial small subunit ribosomal RNA", at positions 1 to 496 of the family's 1533-position model. The record is from RNAcentral. Lineage: Bacteria; Pseudomonadati; Pseudomonadota; Alphaproteobacteria.